UUAGAGUUUGAUCCUGGCUCAGGAUGAACGCUAGCGGCAGGCUUAACACAUGCAAGUCGAGGGGCAGCGCGAGUGGCAACACUUGGCGGCGACCGGCGCAAGGGUGCGUAACGCGUGAGCAACAUGCCCUCUUCACGGGGAUAACCCGGAGAAAUCCGGCCUAAAACCCGAUGGUGAUUUGGACAGGCAUCUGUUCUAAUCUAAAACUUCGGUGGAAGAGGAUUGGCUCGCGUGACAUUAGGUGGUUGGUGGGGUAACGGCCCACCAAGCCUACGAUGUCUAGGGGAACUGAGAGGUUGGUCCCCCACACUGGAACUGAGACACGGUCCAGACUCCUACGGGAGGCAGCAGUGAGGAAUAUUGGACAAUGGAUGGAAAUCUGAUCCAGCCAUGCCGCGUGAAGGAAUACGGUCCUAUGGAUUUUAAACUUCUUUUGUACGGGAGCAAUAAGGCGCACGCGUGCGCCGAUGAGAGUACCGUACGAAUAAGCAUCGGCUAACUCCGUGCCAGCAGCCGCGGUAAUACGGAGGAUGCGAGCGUUAUCCGGAUUUAUUGGGUUUAAAGGGUGCGUAGGCUGCGUGUCAAGUCAGCGGUGAAAUGUAAGGGCUUAACCCUUAACGUGCCGUUGAUACUGACGUGCUGGAAUUCCGUUGCCGUGGGAGGAAUGUGUAAUGUAGCGGUGAAAUGCAUAGAUAUUACACAGAACACCGAUUGCGAAGGCAUCUCACGAAGCGGUGAUUGACGCUGAUGCACGAAAGUGCGGGGAUCAAACAGGAUUAGAUACCCUGGUAGUCCACGCAGUAAACGAUGAUAACUAACCGUCGGCGAUAGACAGUCGGUGGCCAAGCGAAAGCGAUAAGUUAUCCACCUGGGGAGUACGACCGCAAGGUUGAAACUCAAAGGAAUUGACGGGGGCCCGCACGAGCGGAGGAACAUGUGGUUUAAUUCGAUGAUACGCGAGGAACCUUACCCGGGCUCGAACGGCAGAGGAAGGACCCAGAGAUGGGAACGCCCUUCGGGGCUUCUGUCGAGGUGCUGCAUGGUUGUCGUCAGCUCGUGCCGUGAGGUGUCGGCUCAAGUGCCAUAACGAGCGCAACCCUUGUCACUAGUUACCAGCAUGUAAGGAUGGGGACUCUAGUGAGACUGCCACCGCAAGGUGUGAGGAAGGAGGGGAUGACGUCAAAUCAGCACGGCCCUUACGUCCGGGGCGACACACGUGUUACAAUGGUGACUACAGAGGGAGGCUACCUGGCGACAGGGUGCAGAUCUCGAAAAGUCAUCUCAGUUCGGACUGGAGUCUGCAACCCGACUCCACGAAGCUGGAUUCGCUAGUAAUCGCGCAUCAGCCAUGGCGCGGGGAAUACGAAAGCGGGCCUUGUACUCACCGCCCGUCA
Molecule: ribosomal RNA, 1394 nt
Filed under: uncultured bacterium
Lineage: Bacteria
Description: 16S ribosomal RNA
Rfam family: Bacterial small subunit ribosomal RNA
Source: RNAcentral